Molecule: ribosomal RNA, 483 nt
Filed under: uncultured bacterium
Lineage: Bacteria
Description: partial 16S ribosomal RNA
Rfam family: Bacterial small subunit ribosomal RNA
Source: RNAcentral
GACGAACGCUGGCGGCGUGCUUAACACAUGCAAGUCGAACGCUGAAGCCCAGCUUUUGUUGGGUGGAUGAGUGGCGAACGGGUGAGUAACACGUGAGUAACCUGCCCCCUUCUUUGGGAUAACGCCCGGAAACGGGUGCUAAUACCGGAUAUUCACUGGUCUUCGCAUGGGGGUUGGUGGAAAGGGUUUUUCUGGUGGGGGAUGGGCUCGCGGCCUAUCAGCUUGUUGGUGGGGUGAUGGCCUACCAAGGCUUUGACGGGUAGCCGGCCUGAGAGGGUGACCGGUCACAUUGGGACUGAGAUACGGCCCGGACUCCUACGGGAGGCAGUAGGGGGGAAUAUUGCACAAUGGGCGCAAGCCUGAUGCAGCGACGCCGCGUGAGGGAUGGAGGCCUUCGGGUUGUGAACCUCUUUCGCUCAUGGUCAAGCCGCAACAAUGGUUGUGGUGAGGGUAGUGGGUAAAGAAGCGCCGGCUAACUACGUG